Non-coding RNA from Acanthosepion pharaonis, 92 nucleotides. NCBI's taxonomy places the organism in Eukaryota, Metazoa, Mollusca, Cephalopoda, Sepiida, Sepiidae. The record is from the annotation of a GenBank genome assembly.
CAAACACCAGUUCCUAUAUGAUCACCAAAGUUAAGCAGCAUCAAACCUGGUUAGUACUGAGAUAGGUGACUGCUUGGAAAUGCCAGGACCUG